GCCCACCCCACCACUUCCGUUGUGCUCCUUUAAGUAAAAGCCACAGGCACUUCUCAGCCUUUCGGCGGCGGCAAGGUCUGGCCUUGCGGAGGACGUCGGAUUUAAUCGAUAAUUUCAGCGCUUCCGCACUCCCUAAUUUCCAACCUUCUCAAUAAAAUGAUUUGACCCAGAGCUGGUGUGUGUGUCUCCCUCAUUGGCGACGCGUUGCCUUUGAGCCCCUGCUGCGCCUGCGCGUGGCGCCGGGGGUCAGGCUGCAGCGCCAGAGGACGUGCUCGCGCAUAACUGGGGCCGCCUGCCUCUCGCUGGCGGCCCUUUUAACCGCGAGCUACAUGGCCAUGCCCAGGAUCAGCAUCGAUGCUGCUGGAGGUGGGCAGUUUAGAGGGAGGAUUCAGCUGCAGUGUCCUGGGGGAUGACGGAGAUAGCCAUAGGCCCCACUGCGUAUUUUGUGUGGAGAUGAGAACCAACUUCUUGGAUAGACCUCCUACCACAAGCACCAAGUACGUGUGCUCCAGCCUCCUGGAUGUCAAGAUCUAACUCAGGAUUCUCUCUAACCACCUGGACUUUACUUGGAUGUGUAAUUCCCACCUGCUGAGUGGGGAAAAUGGGCUCCUACCCCACCAAGAAGCUGUGAGAAUUAAUCAAGUGGUACGGUCAGAGAAUACAGGACAGAGAAUACCAGUUUGCUACAAAGGGCAGCUGUUAUCACUGGUAGAGGAGUAAUCUUUAGGGUGGAGGAGGAUUGAGAAUAAAAACAGCUCAUCCCAUAAAAUUCAAGCAUUCACCUUAACUUUUUCUGACAUGUGAAGAUGGAUCCUUAAAUGUGAAUUAACCAUUCACAGAAGAAAGCUCGAUCAAAUUUACAAUGAAUACUGGGGUUCCAUGAAAAUAGUGGGAAAAAGCUCCUGUCCAUGGUACUUGCCCUAAUCCCAAAGUUAAGCAGGCUGGGUGGGAUGUUUAUGGUCAUGCAACAAAAGGAAUCACUUGCUGUCUUUGAGGACCCUCCCCGUACCAUA
Long non-coding RNA from Marmota monax (woodchuck), 1013 nucleotides. RefSeq lists it as uncharacterized. The transcript has 3 exons. NCBI's taxonomy places the organism in Eukaryota, Metazoa, Chordata, Mammalia, Rodentia, Sciuridae. The record is from RefSeq and is a predicted model, not a curated record.